Molecule: ribosomal RNA, 253 nt
Filed under: uncultured bacterium
Lineage: Bacteria
Description: partial 16S ribosomal RNA
Rfam family: Bacterial small subunit ribosomal RNA
Source: RNAcentral
UACGUAGGGUGCGAGCGUUAAUCGGAAUUACUGGGCGUAAAGCGCGCGUAGGCGGACCUGCAAGUCGGGGGUGAAAGCCCGAGGCUCAACCUCGGAACUGCCUUCGAUACUGCGGGUCUCGAGUCCGGGAGAGGUGAGUGGAAUUCCUAGUGUAGAGGUGAAAUGCGCAGAUAUCAGGAAGAACACCUAUGGCGAAGGCAGCUCUCUGGGACGGUACUGACGCUGAGACGCGAAAGCGUGGGGAGCGAACAGG